GAAAAGAAGAAGCACCCGCUUCUCACCUGAUUGACGCACCAGGCAGUUGACAGGUUUUGCGAAGACUUUUAUUAAUGUUGGUUUCGUAAAGUGUGGGUGUGUUCACCCACACUUUUUUUGUU
This 122-nucleotide small RNA is filed under the name Bacillus tuaregi. Its description in RNAcentral is "Ribosomal protein L20 leader". It matches the Rfam family "Ribosomal protein L20 leader". Rfam says of the family: This family is a putative r-protein leader autoregulatory structure found in B. subtilis and other low-GC Gram-positive bacteria. The record is from RNAcentral. Lineage: Bacteria; Bacillati; Bacillota; Bacilli; Caryophanales; Bacillaceae.